This is a long non-coding RNA of Alosa sapidissima (American shad), 2561 nucleotides long. RefSeq lists it as uncharacterized. The record is from RefSeq and is a predicted model, not a curated record. The transcript is spliced from 2 exons. Lineage: Eukaryota; Metazoa; Chordata; Actinopteri; Clupeiformes; Clupeidae.
UGUGCAAAAUUAACACCAAUGUAGAAGCUUCAAAAAUACAAUAUUGCAAGUAGGCUAGCAUAUGUCAGCAGCAUGUUGAAGUUCGUUGAGUUUGAACGAGGAAGUAAGCAAGCAUACAGAGCCGAGGGACAAUAGGUGCAGGUGGUGGAGAGUGCUCGCCCUAUUGAGGCUACAUGAUAAGAACUCACUCACUGGUGGAGCAGGUAGGCUAUGUGUGACAUGCCAUGCUGACGAUGAUGAUUAUAAUGACUUAUUAAUUGCGAUAAUGUACUGAUAUGGUAAUGCUAACAUAGUAAGGCCGUGCUGUGAUUACAUAUAUAGCCUAUUCUAUCGGUCCAAAAGGUGCGUCGGCCCACCGGGAAAAUGCCCGGUAUGCCAGAUGGCCAGUCCGCCCAUGUCCAUGUGUGCAUAUUUGUGUGUAUUGGAUAAGUAGCUGUUGAAUCCGACCCUGUUCCAGCGGAGUUUCAGGGACAAAUAUUUGAAGCAUUUCUUUAUAAAUUAAUAUUUAAAAACACACAGUAAUAAUAUUAAUUGUAGGCAUUUAACAUUAAUCACAAUCAUAACUUUUUUUGGGCACAAUGUCCCGGAUUUCCACAAAUCAAAUGUGGCAACACUAUAUGUUGUCUCAAGCCAGUUGGUAUUUUACUAACUCUUAGCAAAUAUGGAAUAGAUUCACUCUCAGUGGCCUGCGGUAUGAUCUGUGGCUUUGCGUGAUAUUUUGUGAGUACAUGAGCUCUUUGAGGCAUGUUAGCAGUGCUAGCUGUUAGACAUGCUAAUGGUAGCCAUGGCUACAUGCCAGUGGAAUGGCAUACUAGUGCUAAGUGUGGCUCCGUCAGGUUUGCAUCAGUGUUAGCAGUGGCUGGAUCUGUGUGGUGCGUUAGCAGUAGCUUUGAUCACGCUAGCAUUAAUGGAGUGAGCUGUAGCUAACUGUGACAGUGCCUUAGCAUGUAUAGUCCUAAUGGUAAACGCUAUGUGUAGUGUGACAGUGGCCCUCUCAUGACACUUACUGAACGAUCAGACAGGACGCAGUUUUUGCAGUGAGGUGCCUUUGUAUGUUGUGUUUUGUAUGGGCAGUAAGCGUUUUGUGUUUUUUGCGCCUUGUGUUUUUUGCGCCUGCUGCACUUUGCGUUUCUGUGGAGGCGCCCUAUGCGCCUUGAAUUAAACCAAAAUUCAACUCGAAGCAGUAAAGCGCCCGCAUUUUUAUGAAAACAUAGUGCACCUCGCAUUUUAUAAGCGGCAAAGCGUGUCCUGUCUGAUCGUUCCCUAACUUUGGCUAAGGCUGGCUCACGCCAGACGCUCUGCCACAUGCACUGCAGCCUCGUAAGGCUAGUCGGGCUAAUCAGACUUGUUGUUAAAGUGACUUGAUCCUAAUCAGGCUAAUCAGACUCAAAGUGACUUGAUCCUAAUCCAAUUGCAAGUAAUAGUGUAUCACUUGUAAUCUGACUAUUCUAAGAGCUAUAAUACCAUUGUGUUAAAGUUAUAUAUGUGUGUUAAAGAUCUGCCACAAAGUAAUAUUGUGUUAAAACUCUAUUUGUGGUUGUUACGAGUGGGGUGGGAAUUGAGUUUUAAUGUCUGUAGUGCUAGAGGGGUCAUUAUGGGAUGGAUGUCAUCAUAUUGUAUCACCAGGGGCUUUGUAAGGUCUGCCUGUUAUCAUUUGUCCAGCAGGGGGCGUUGUAAGGCCUAUCUGUUAUUGUCCAGCAGGUGGCGCUAUAAGGCCUGUCUGUUUUGUCAUGUUAGUUGCAUGUAUACCACACAGCAUGGGCAGUGUCAUGGGGUGGAGGCAUGUUGGGGAAUGUGCUUACUGGUGAUGAUUCUUGUCCAGUUCCCAAUGCCAUCUAUGUUUCCGAUUGGCUGAAUAAUGUAUUGCUUUCUGAUUGGCUGAAUAGAUUGUUGAGUUCCAUUGUUGAGCAGUUCUGGCUGGACCUCAGAGACACCCCACGGGUGUGUUCUAAUGCCCAGAUACCCCACGGGUGUAUUCUAAUGCCCCAGAUACCCCACGGGUGUAUUCUAAAGCCCCAGAUACCCCACGGGUGUAUUCUAAUGCCCUGUACGCCCCUGCUGUGUGGUGAGCACUGAGAGUGGACGCUUAAAGCCGAUGGCCGAGUCGCUCCUCUCCUAUCCAGUGAUGUGUGAAGUGAAGUGGACCCACUGGACAGUGAUGUGUGGAGUGGUCCCACUGGACGAGUGAGCAAGCAAACUGAACACUGAAAUAGUUUCAGAUGCAUUUAAACAGAGAACCUGUGAUUGGCAGCAUUUAAGCAGAGGCACCUCCCUUCGGAUGAGAUACAAUCUAAUUGGACAAUCUUGUGAUUAUUAUUAAAAUUGUGGCCAUAUAGAUAGAUAGAUAUAUAGAUACUUUAUUGAUCCCCAAGGGGAAAUGCAAGAAUAUGAUUGGACGACUCCAGCAGCCACUUUAAGCUUUCAGCUCUCCGUGUGUUUUUGAAUUGUUUUGUGGAAGACCAUUCGACUCGCAGACGAUACACUCUUGUUUAUCUUUUUGGAGGUUGACUCUGUCAGUGCCAGAUUGAAUCUGUCUGAAAAAUAAAGCCUUUUACACCAAC